AGCAUGCAACUGACACUGAGGCACGAAAGCGUGGGUAUCAAACAGGAUUAGAUACCCUGGUAGUCCACGCAGUAAACGAUGAAUACUAGCUGUUGGCGAUAUAAUGUCAGCGGUACAGCGAAAGUGUUAAGUAUUCCACCUGGGGAGUACGCCGGCAACGGUGAAACUCAAAGGAAUUGACGGGGGCCCGCACAAGCGGAGGAACAUGUGGUUUAAUUCGAUGAUACGCGAGGAACCUUACCCGGGCUUGAAAGUUAGUGACGGCGGAUGAAAGUCUGCUUCCCUUCGGGGCACGAAACUAGGUGCUGCAUGGUUGUCGUCAGCUCGUGCCGUGAGGUGUCGGCUUAAGUGCCAUAACGAGCGCAACCCUUGCCGUUAGUUGCCAGCGGGUAAUGCCGGGAACUCUAGCGGGACUGCUACUGUAAGGUAGAGGAAGGUGGGGAUGACGUCAAAUCAGCACGGCCCUUACGUCCGGGGCGACACACGUGAACAAUGGUGAGUACAGAGGGUUGCUACCCCGCGAGGGGAUGCUAAUCUCAUAAAACUCAUCUCAGUUCGGAUCGGAGUCUGCAACUCGACUCCGUGAAGCUGGAUUCGCUA
This 600-nucleotide ribosomal RNA is filed under the name uncultured bacterium. Its description in RNAcentral is "bacterial SSU rRNA". It matches the Rfam family "Bacterial small subunit ribosomal RNA", at positions 731 to 1337 of the family's 1533-position model. The record is from RNAcentral.